Molecule: ribosomal RNA, 446 nt
Filed under: uncultured bacterium
Lineage: Bacteria
Description: bacterial SSU rRNA
Rfam family: Bacterial small subunit ribosomal RNA
Source: RNAcentral
CCAGACUCCUACGGGAGGCAGCAGUGGGGGAUAUUGCACAAUGGGGGGAACCCUGAUGCAGCGACGCCGCGUGGGUGAAGGAGUAUUUCGGUAUGUAAAGCCCUAUCGGCAGGGAAGAAGCAAGACGGUACCUGACUAAGAAGCCCCGGCUAACUACGUGCCAGCAGCCGCGGUAAUACGUAGGUGGCAAGCGUUGUCCGGAUUUACUGGGUGUAAAGGGCGUGUAGCCGGGAAGGCAAGUCAGAUGUGAAAUCUGGAGGCUCAACCUCCAAAUUGCAUUUGAAACUGUUUUUCUUGAGUACUGGAGAGGCAGACGGAAUUCCUUGUGUAGCGGUGAAAUGCGUAGAUAUAAGGAGGAACACCAGUGGCGAAGGCGGUCUACUGGACAGCAACUGACGGUGAGGCGCGAAAGCGUGGGGAGCAAACAGGAUUAGAUACCCGGGUAU